RNAcentral lists this ribosomal RNA (450 nucleotides) under uncultured Exiguobacterium sp. Its description in RNAcentral is "bacterial SSU rRNA". It matches the Rfam family "Bacterial small subunit ribosomal RNA", at positions 354 to 796 of the family's 1533-position model. Lineage: Bacteria; Bacillati; Bacillota; Bacilli; Caryophanales. The record is from RNAcentral.
GUAGGGAAUCUUCCACAAUGGACGAAAGUCUGAUGGAGCAACGCCGCGUGAGUGAUGAAGGUUUUCGGAUCGUAAAACUCUGUUGUAAGGGAAGAACACGUACGAGAGGUAAUGCUCGUACCUUGACGGUACCUUACGAGAAAGCCACGGCUAACUACGUGCCAGCAGCCGCGGUAAUACGUAGGUGGCAAGCGUUGUCCGGAAUUAUUGGGCGUAAAGCGCGCGCAGGCGGCCUUUUAAGUCUGAUGUGAAAGCCCCCGGCUCAACCGGGGAGGGCCAUUGGAAACUGGAAGGCUUGAGUACAGAAGAGAAGAGUGGAAUUCCACGUGUAGCGGUGAAAUGCGUAGAGAUGUGGAGGAACACCAGUGGCGAAGGCGACUCUUUGGUCUGUAACUGACGCUGAGGCGCGAAAGCGUGGGGAGCAAACAGGAUUAGAAACCCUGGUAGUCC